GUGCCCGCUUCAGCAGCACAUGCACUAAAAUUGGAAUAAUACAGAGAAAAUUAGCAUGGCCCUUGCGCAAUGACACACAAAUUUGUGAAGCCUUCCAUAUUUUU
Diceros bicornis minor is the source of this 104-nucleotide small nuclear RNA. NCBI's taxonomy places the organism in Eukaryota, Metazoa, Chordata, Mammalia, Perissodactyla, Rhinocerotidae. The record is from RefSeq and is a predicted model, not a curated record.